RNAcentral lists this long non-coding RNA (199 nucleotides) under Elaeis guineensis (African oil palm). Its description in RNAcentral is "long non-coding RNA (EGUI_LNC081733)". The record is from RNAcentral. Lineage: Eukaryota; Viridiplantae; Streptophyta; Magnoliopsida; Arecales; Arecaceae.
CACCACGUGCUUUUCAUUCCCAUCGUUCAAAAGAAUUGAGACAAGAUCUUCAAUUGGCUCAUCCCGUUCUUCAGCAAGGUCGUCGCGGGUGUCUAAUCCAUCAAUCGGACAAGGGUCAGACUGACCAUUUCUUUGUAAGGCUAUGUUAUAGCAGUGUCUUUCCAGGACUUGAUCUCCUCCGACCUCUCUGACCCCUUGG